RNAcentral lists this small RNA (171 nucleotides) under Pan troglodytes (chimpanzee). Its description in RNAcentral is "processed transcript". Lineage: Eukaryota; Metazoa; Chordata; Mammalia; Primates; Hominidae. The record is from RNAcentral.
CCCCAGCCAGCAGGUUGUUAAAUACCCACCAAGCAGAAGUAAAAACAAACGGAUUAUUAGGAACAUUGACCAUAAAUCCAUAAAACUACUAGAGCUCAAGAGCAAGAUGACGUUCUCAUAGUUGAUUCGGAUGAAGAAGAUUCUUCAAAUAAUGCCGACGUCAGUGAAGAA